AUAAAUAAAUUUUUUAUAGUUUAAAGAUUUUAUUAUAAAUUUAUUUUGCAUAUAAAUUUUAGUGUUAAUUAUUAAUUAUUUUAAUAAUAUUUAAUAAUUAUAAGUAGUAAUUAAUAUUAAAAAUUUAAGAAAUUAAGAUUUAGUAAUAUUUAAAUUAAUAACAAAUUUUGUGCCAGCAGUUGCGGUUAAACAAAAAUUAAAUUAAAAUUUAUUAGUAAUUAAUAAUUAAUUAAUUUAAUUUUUAAUUAAAUAUUAGAUUAUAAGGUGAAAUUUUAAUUUAAUUAAAAUUAAAUUUUUAUUUAUGAUUUAAUAAAUUUUAUUUAUAAACUAGGAUUAGAUACCCUAUUAUUAAAAAUUUAAAUUUAUAAUACUAAAAUAGUAUAUAAUUAUUUAUUGAAACUUAAAUAAUUUGGCGGUAUUUUAGUUCAUUUAGAGGAAUCUGUUUAAUAAUUGAUAAUCCACGAAUAAAUUUACUUAAUUUAUUAUUUUGUAUAUCGUUGUUAUAAAAAUAUUUUAAAAUAAGAAUAAUAUUUAAAAAUUUAAAUAAAAAAUUAAAUCAGAUCAAGAUGCAGAUUAUAAUUAAGAAUAUAAUGGAUUACAAUGAAUUUAUUUAUAUGAAUAUUAAUUUGUAAUAAUUAAUUGAAAGUGGAUUUAAAUGUAAUUUUAUUUAAUUUAUUGAAAUGAUUAAAAAUUAAGAUAUGUACAUAUUGCCCGUCGCUUUCAUUAAUAAAUUGGAAUAAGUCGUAACAAAGUAGAGGUACUGGAAAGUGUUUCUAGAAAUAA
Molecule: non-coding RNA, 783 nt
Filed under: Maruca testulalis
Lineage: Eukaryota; Metazoa; Arthropoda; Insecta; Lepidoptera; Crambidae
Source: RNAcentral